GUCUAGAUGAGUAGUCCCAAAUAGGACGAAAUGCGCAUCGUGGAU
This 45-nucleotide non-coding RNA is filed under the name Trichobilharzia regenti. Lineage: Eukaryota; Metazoa; Platyhelminthes; Trematoda; Strigeidida; Schistosomatidae. The record is from RNAcentral.